RNAcentral lists this long non-coding RNA (944 nucleotides) under Homo sapiens (human). RNAcentral describes it as "PVT1 splice variant 6". The stretch from base 372 to 540 matches the Rfam family "Pvt1 oncogene conserved region 4". The record is from RNAcentral. Lineage: Eukaryota; Metazoa; Chordata; Mammalia; Primates; Hominidae.
CUCAAGAUGGCUGUGCCUGUCAGCUGCAUGGAGCUUCGUUCAAGUAUUUUCUGAGCCUGAUGGAUUUACAGUGAUCUUCAGUGGUCUGGGGAAUAACGCUGGUGGAACCAUGCACUGGAAUGACACACGCCCGGCACAUUUCAGGAUACUAAAAGUGGUUUUAAGGGAGGCUGUGGCUGAAUGCCUCAUGGAUUCUUACAGCUUGGAUGUCCAUGGGGGACGAAGGACUGCAGCUGGCUGAGAGGGUUGAGAUCUCUGUUUACUUAGAUCUCUGCCAACUUCCUUUGGGUCUCCCUAUGGAAUGUAAGACCCCGACUCUUCCUGGUGAAGCAUCUGAUGCACGUUCCAUCCGGCGCUCAGCUGGGCUUGAGCUGACCAUACUCCCUGGAGCCUUCUCCCGAGGUGCGCGGGUGACCUUGGCACAUACAGCCAUCAUGAUGGUACUUUAAGUGGAGGCUGAAUCAUCUCCCCUUUGAGCUGCUUGGCACGUGGCUCCCUUGGUGUUCCCCUUUUACUGCCAGGACACUGAGAUUUGGAGAGAAUCCUGUUACACCUGGGAUUUAGGCACUUUCAAUCUGAAAAAAUACAUAUCCUUUCAGCACUCUGGACGGACUUGAGAACUGUCCUUACGUGACCUAAAGCUGGAGUAUUUUGAGAUUGGAGAAUUAAGGUUUUUUGCAUGUCUGACACCCAUGACUCCACCUGGACCUUAUGGCUCCACCCAGAAGCAAUUCAGCCCAACAGGAGGACAGCUUCAACCCAUUACGAUUUCAUCUCUGCCCCAACCACUCAGCAGCAAGCACCUGUUACCUGUCCACCCCCACCCCUUCCCCCAAACUGCCUUUGAAAAAUCCCUAACCUAUGAGCUUUGAAUAAGAUGAGUACGAACUUCAUCGCCCACGUGGCGUGGCCGGCCUCGUGUCUAUUAAAUUCUUUUUCUACUA